CAGCGCCGGAUGAGGUUUGCUGCUCUAUUUGCUGCAGCUAGUUUGCUGUUUGUGUGGCCUUUUUGUCGACCUACAGUAGAUGUUUUUUUGACCCCAAAAAUACCUAGUAGAGCCUUAGUCGAGUUAAAUUGAUCGAUGGACUGGAUCAUUAAUGGUUGCUCUAAUAUUGUUAGUUGAAUGAGUAUUUUCAAUACAAAUGAGGUAACUCAUCUUUGCUCUUGUAAUUAUAUUAUACACUAGAUUUCAAUAAAUAUGCUUCCGGUACUACUUUA
Molecule: long non-coding RNA, 272 nt
Organism: Rhodamnia argentea
Lineage: Eukaryota; Viridiplantae; Streptophyta; Magnoliopsida; Myrtales; Myrtaceae
Exons: 2
Source: RefSeq, a predicted model, not a curated record